This 84-nucleotide transfer RNA is filed under the name Chloroflexota bacterium. RNAcentral describes it as "tRNA-Leu". It matches the Rfam family "tRNA". Rfam says of the family: Transfer RNA (tRNA) molecules are approximately 80 nucleotides in length. Lineage: Bacteria; Bacillati; Chloroflexota. The record is from RNAcentral.
GGGCGAGUGGCGAAGUUGGCAGACGCGACGGAAUUAGGGUCCGUUGCUCGAAAGAGCGUGAGGGUUCGAGUCCCUCCUCGCCCA